RNAcentral lists this ribosomal RNA (209 nucleotides) under Klebsiella pneumoniae. RNAcentral's name for it is "partial 16S ribosomal RNA". It matches the Rfam family "Bacterial small subunit ribosomal RNA", at positions 359 to 560 of the family's 1533-position model. Lineage: Bacteria; Pseudomonadati; Pseudomonadota; Gammaproteobacteria; Enterobacterales; Enterobacteriaceae. The record is from RNAcentral.
GAAUAUUGCACAAUGGGCGCAAGCCUGAUGCAGCCAUGCCGCGUGUGUGAAGAAGGCCUUCGGGUUGUAAAGCACUUUCAGCGGGGAGGAAGGCGGUGAGGUUAAUAACCUCAUCGAUUGACGUUACCCGCAGAAGAAGCACCGGCUAACUCCGUGCCAGCAGCCGCGGUAAUACGGAGGGUGCAAGCGUUAAUCGGAAUUACUGGGCG